CACAAAUCAAGCCACGCUUGGUGUUGGACGCGGCCCCGUCAAAAGGGCCCGUCCCAAAGGCAUGGGCGAGGACACCGACCCCCGGCGUGUUAGAAAUCUGAAACGUCGGGAGCACCGGUGCCCCUCCGCCGUCAAAUCUUUUAACAAA
RNAcentral lists this unclassified non-coding RNA (148 nucleotides) under uncultured Ascomycota. RNAcentral's name for it is "sequence contains ITS2". The record is from RNAcentral. RNAcentral also lists the same sequence under 1 other name. Lineage: Eukaryota; Fungi; Ascomycota.